AUACGGAGGGUGCGAGCGUUAAUCGGAAUUACUGGGCGUAAAGCGCGCGCAGGCGGCUGGGUCAGUCGGAUGUGAAAGCCCCGGGCUUAACCUGGGAAUUGCAUUCGAUACUGCCCGGCUAGAGUAUGGGAGAGGGAAGUGGAAUUUCCGGUGUAGAGGUGAAAUGCGUAGAUAUCGGAAGGAACACCAGUGGCGAAGGCGGCUUCCUGGCCCAAUACUGACGCUCAGGUGCGAAAGCGUGGGGAGCGAACAGGAUUAGAAACCCCGGUAGUCC
This 274-nucleotide ribosomal RNA is filed under the name uncultured bacterium. Its description in RNAcentral is "partial 16S ribosomal RNA". It matches the Rfam family "Bacterial small subunit ribosomal RNA", at positions 523 to 796 of the family's 1533-position model. The record is from RNAcentral.